CAGAAGCCCGCCACGAAGAGAUUGAGGGCAUCCAUUUUAUCCAUUUUGCUCUCUGCCUCGAAGACGGGACGGGCCCCGCAGGACACAAGCGCCAGGCAGUCCACACAGUUCCAUAGGAAACAAAGUCUGUGCCAGACGUGCAUCAGGAUCGGGGGCAGCUGGUGUUCCAGUGCUUCUUGCAGUUUCUGUAUCUCGUGGCAGAGGAGCCGGAGACGCUGGAUGCGUCGCAGCUUUACGUCCAGGAUGCGACUGUGGAAGAACAGACUAGAUAGCCCAACUAGACGACUGCGUUCCUGACUGAUGUCGAAAGCUCGGGAGCACAGCAUGGCAGUUCGUGACUCGAAGAGGUCAGAUUUAUCCAGCGCCUGAGGAGGAACUGCUUUUACUACAAACAGUGGUCGGACGAAUCUUUACAAACCAGAUUCCUGAGCUGGCGGUUCCGCUCCUCAAGAAAUUGGGUGCGCUUCUGGACAUCCGCCAGCUGCUGGGACAUCCCAGUCGGUACAGUAUUCUGAUGAUGUAGGUCGACACCAUGCAGCGAGGAUAAAUCACUCAGCGGAAGCUAUUCGCCGACAAAGUG
Molecule: non-coding RNA, 580 nt
Organism: Drosophila melanogaster (fruit fly)
Lineage: Eukaryota; Metazoa; Arthropoda; Insecta; Diptera; Drosophilidae
Source: Ensembl